RNAcentral lists this ribosomal RNA (495 nucleotides) under uncultured bacterium. Its description in RNAcentral is "partial 16S ribosomal RNA". It matches the Rfam family "Bacterial small subunit ribosomal RNA", at positions 28 to 507 of the family's 1533-position model. The record is from RNAcentral.
GACGAACGCUGGCGGCGUGCCUAAUACAUGCAAGUAGAACGCUGAAGGAGGAGCUUGCUUCUCUGGAUGAGUUGCGAACGGGUGAGUAACGCGUAGGUAACCUGCCUGGUAGCGGGGGAUAACUAUUGGAAACGAUAGCUAAUACCGCAUAAUAGUAGAUGUUGCAUGACAUUUGCUUAAAAGGUGCAAUUGCAUCACUACCAGAUGGACCUGCGUUGUAUUAGCUAGUUGGUGGGGUAACGGCUCACCAAGGCGACGAUACAUAGCCGACCUGAGAGGGUGAUCGGCCACACUGGGACUGAGACACGGCCCAGACUCCUACGGGAGGCAGCAGGAGGGAAUCUUCAGCAAUGGACGGAAGUCUGACCGAGCAACGCCGCGUGAGUGAAGAAGGUUUUCGGAUCGUAAAGCUCUGUUGUAAGAGAAGAACGAGUGUGAGAGUGGAAAGUUCACACUGUGACGGUAUCUUAACAGAAAGGGACGGCUAACUACGUG